AGUGAACGGUGCUUGGGAGUGACUUAUGAAAGGACAGCAGCUGGAAAGAGACGAGUCAGGAAAAGACACUGUGUCUACGACGUUGAUCUUGUGGCUUCAAAACAGUCAUUGUUGAAAUGUUGUUUAAAUUGCUGAACAAGUCAUGACUGGGCAUUGCAGCACUGAUGGUAGUUUGCAUGAUUUAUGUGAUGGGUUCUUGUUCAAGGAGCAAGAGUUCUUCAGCAACACCCAACUGCUCUACAAAUAUUUCUUUAUUAUGACGAUUUGGAAAUAUGCAAUCUGCUUGGUUGAAAUGUAAAAAGCACAAACUAGGGACUUUCUAUAGGCAACAGUGAACCUAAGCAUAGAUCUUCUCAGAGAGUCAUUCAGCUUGUGACGUUAGUUAAAGCUAAACUGGUUAAUGAAUAUGGCGUGGAUGAAAUGCUUAACCCAUUUGUUG
Molecule: long non-coding RNA, 439 nt
Organism: Corticium candelabrum
Lineage: Eukaryota; Metazoa; Porifera; Homoscleromorpha; Homosclerophorida; Plakinidae
Exons: 3
Source: RefSeq, a predicted model, not a curated record